Molecule: long non-coding RNA, 566 nt
Filed under: Pan troglodytes (chimpanzee)
Lineage: Eukaryota; Metazoa; Chordata; Mammalia; Primates; Hominidae
Description: lincRNA
Source: RNAcentral
AGAAGUGAGGCAGCCGUGAGGCGGAGGACAGGCUGGGGGAUCCCAAAGGGUCCGCUCCAGCCCCCAACCCAGGCACUGGGACUCUGGUGGCACCCUGGGUGGCAGGCAAGCCUUGAAAUCAAGUGCACGAGCCUUGGAAAGGAGGACCGGGAGAGUUAUGGCAUUUAUGAAUAAAGAAGAGAAAGAGAAUCACUCGGAUGGGAAAAGUUAACUGGAUUGUUCCCACCUGCAUGGAUCACCGGGAUGAAGCUGUGCCACCCUGUAGGAAUUAGAAGACCACGUCCAGGAAUUGAGCAUCGGGUGCAGGAUCCAGUCUUCUGAGGCCCUGAAACCACAUGGUGAGAAGUUGAAGGUCACACAGCUGAAGCAACUUAGCCGUCUCGCCUUGCGGCCUGGAAGCCCUGGCAAUUUCCGGAGCACCGGCAAGAGACUUUUGCACAGUUUCUGCUUGGAGUCUACCGACUGUCUGUCUCAGAGGUCUGGACAGCUGCUUGUUACAUUUGGCUCACGCUAGCUUUAAAAAGGAAUGUAUGGACCUUACUGCAGAACGUCCCAAUUCUUCAGGC